Molecule: RNA transcript, 2297 nt
Organism: Paramormyrops kingsleyae
Lineage: Eukaryota; Metazoa; Chordata; Actinopteri; Osteoglossiformes; Mormyridae
Gene: popdc2
Gene name: popeye domain cAMP effector 2
Source: RefSeq, a predicted model, not a curated record
CCGUUUCCAGGAGAUAGCUACACAUUCCGAAUGUAUCCCUCUAGGGAAACAACCGCAGGGAGAAAAGGAACACACAAGCAGAUGAAACAGAGGAAGGGAGAGUGGGAGGGAGAGCAGGGCUGCUAAGAAGACGUGGCAGAACUACAGAGGCUCUGGACCUUCGCUCAGGCUCCAUACUGAGAGGGGACAAGUUCAGCGCUACAGAAACCCAGAGACUUUCCAAGACAAUUUGUAAAUACUUCACAGAACGACGGACCACAUUUCAUUUUUCUUCUUUUUUUUUCUAUUAAUGUGCCACAUCUUUCUCAAAAACAUUUUGCUACUUUAUACGUUGGAGCCACUAUAGCUGAACAGAACGUCAUCUUUACUUGAGUUGCAGUUCCCGAUUAAGUAGGAAAGAAAACGGAGUAUUUUGUUUUUGUUGUAAAGCACAUCAGAGCAUUUCCAAUUUUGGAUGUUUUUUUAAUUCUUAAACUGACAUACGUGUUUGCCCGAUUGAUUGACAGCUUUAGGGACUGGGCAGGAUGUUGAAUGGGAACACUACCACCUUGGAUGCAGCGUCGACAGAAUACCAGUUCUGUACUGUAUGGGGCAAUGAGACAGAGGGGGCCUUCUACCACCUGGGUAACACACUGCUCUGGUUGGGCUACAUGGGCGGCAGCGGUGCCUAUGGGGCACUCUACAUCUUCGGUUGUCUAGCUCCUGCUUUCUUGUGCCACGCAGUGUGGGGCUGGAGGCUUUUGUGUGGGUCUUUGCCUGUGGUGGUUUGGUCCAGCCUGCUGGGGGCACUGUGCCUGUUGCAGCUGGCCCAUCUUCUGUACCAGCUGCACAGAAAUUGGCUGCCUGGGGAGGAGUUCCGGAACCUCUAUUCUGGCGUUUACCUGCCGCUGGGCGUGCCGGUGUCCAUAUUCAAAGAGGUGUCUGCGGCCUGCGACUCCCAGGUGCUGUCCCUAGGCGAGGAAGAGGCUUACGCUCUGGAGGGAAAGACAGUCAUUGAUCGACUGUCUUUCCUGCUGUCUGGAAGAAUCCGAGUGUCUCUGGAAGGCCAGUUCCUCCACUACAUCUUCCCAUACCAGUUCCUGGACUCACCUGAGUGGGAGUCGCUCAAACCCACAGAAGAGGGAAACUUUCAGGUGACCUUGACUGCGGAGACGGACUGUCGCUACAUCUCAUGGAGGCGGCGGAAGCUCUACCUGCUUCUGUCGCGUGAUCGCUAUAUUGCACGCCUCUUCUCCGUCAUGCUGGGUAGCGACAUUGCUGACAAGCUCUACUCCCUCAACGACAAAUUGUUUGCCAGGAGCAAUGUGCGUCUAGACAUCCGCCUGCCCAGCCUUUACCACGUGCUGGCCCCGCCCUCUGCAGACCCUGGAUCUGCCCAGCAGAUUUCACACUCAUUCAAUUCCAGCUUGGGUCUUCUGGAGGGGAACGCAGAUUCCCCAGCCGUCCAUGACCUGCCCCGGCCCCGUUCCUUGGAUAUGGAGAGGCUCUUUGGUGAGGACUCCAGCAGCCUGAUUCUGGAGGACUUUGCUGACAUGACAGGCUCCUUCAUGGAGUAUGGGAGUGAGAGCAAUUAUUUGAAGUAGUAGCGAGUGGCAGUGAAAAACUAGUACACUGGAUAUUUGCUAAGCCACAUGGGACCACCCGCCAGGACAGCCUCGUCUCCACUGGCAGAGAAGACGAGCGCCUCUGGUUCCCACUGACACCCCGAGUCUAUGAGGACGGCACAGCCCACUGACCAGGCAACACAAACAACCCCCCAUGGCUGGUUGGGGGCUCACAGACACUCUGCACUCCCAAAUAGGAGGAAAGUAAAAGAUGCUCCUUCGUCCACAUCGCACCUACCUCCACAUAAGCAGUCCUGUAUGACUCCUGUGUCACUGUAUCACUCAGUUCUCCCACUCUGAGCAGCUGCUUUCCUGCACUGGGAAAUCCCCCCUCCCGUUUCAAGUGUCAUGCUCUGUACAGUGUAAUUCCACAUCCGUAGGAUGAAGCUUUCAGGGUUACUAAAAUACACUGGUGUUUGGAGUCACUCCCAAGGGAUGCUGCCCGCUCUCAUGUCUUUGUUUUCUAGAUGAAUGAACAGCUGUUUCUUUCAGGUGUCGUGUGCAUUUAUAUUGUUUAGGCUGAAGAGGUGACAAUGCGAGAAUGAACCAUAAAGUGCUGGCAUGACUAUUGGAGCAUGAGUAAUACAGCAUCACCAAUAUUUUUUUACAUGCAAUUUAAUAUAUGUUAAUAUUUAAGUAUACUUUGGCACACAGAUUAGCAUGCAAAACAAUAAAGGACAACAUCCUACAUUA